RNAcentral lists this ribosomal RNA (396 nucleotides) under Paramoeba aestuarina. RNAcentral's name for it is "partial Eukaryotic large subunit ribosomal RNA". It matches the Rfam family "Eukaryotic large subunit ribosomal RNA", at positions 19 to 427 of the family's 3401-position model. The record is from RNAcentral. Lineage: Eukaryota; Discosea; Flabellinia; Dactylopodida; Paramoebidae.
CGACCACCCGCUGAACUUAAGCAUAUCAUUAAGCGGAGGACAAGAAAACAACCGUGAUUCCCCUAGUAGCGGCGAGCGAAGCGGGAGCAGCCCAAUCCGAAUCCCUCGGGAGUUGUGGAGUAGCGAGGACGCCGGCGUGGAACGCGCGCACCAAAGUCUUCCUGGAAAGGAGCGCCAGAGAGGGUGAUAGCCCCGUGUGCGUGCGCGCCGCCCAGGACGCCGGCGUCUGCGGAGUAGUACUGCUUGGGAAUGCAGUGCGAACGGCAGGUAUACCUCUGCCAAGGCUAAAUAUCAUGGGGAGACCGAUAGCGAACAAGUAGCGUGAGCGAAAGAUGAAAAGCACUUUGGAGAGAGAGUGAAACAGCACCUGAAGCUGUUAUGAGGUAAGGGAUGGAU